Molecule: non-coding RNA, 26 nt
Filed under: Mus musculus (house mouse)
Lineage: Eukaryota; Metazoa; Chordata; Mammalia; Rodentia; Muridae
Source: RNAcentral
UCAUUGUCCAGGAAUCUGUCUCAGCC